AGUGAACGCUGGCGGUAGGCCUAACACAUGCAAGUCGAACGGCAGCACAGUAAGAGCUUGCUCUUACGGGUGGCGAGUGGCGGACGGGUGAGGAAUACAUCGGAAUCUACUUUUUCGUGGGGGAUAACGUAGGGAAACUUACGCUAAUACCGCACACGACCUACGGGUGAAAGCAGGGGAUCUUCGGACCUUGCGCGAUUGAAUGAGCCGAUGUCGGAUUAGCUAGUUGGCGGGGUAAAGGCCCACCAAGGCGACGAUCCGUAGCUGGUCUGAGAGGAUGAUCAGCCACACUGGAACUGAGACACGGUCCAGACUCCUACGGGAGGCAGCAGUGGGGAAUAUUGGACAAUGGGGGCAAGCCUGAUCCAGCCAUACCGCGUGGGUGAAGAAGGCCUUCGGGUUGUAAAGCCCUUUUGUUGGGAAAGAAAAGCAGCAGGUUAAUACCCCGCUGUUCUGACGGUACCCAAAGAAUAAGCACCGGCUAACUUCGUG
This 492-nucleotide ribosomal RNA is filed under the name uncultured bacterium. RNAcentral describes it as "partial 16S ribosomal RNA". It matches the Rfam family "Bacterial small subunit ribosomal RNA", at positions 29 to 507 of the family's 1533-position model. The record is from RNAcentral.